Molecule: transfer RNA, 74 nt
Filed under: Candidatus Azambacteria bacterium RIFCSPLOWO2_01_FULL_37_9
Lineage: Bacteria; Candidatus Azamiibacteriota
Description: tRNA-His
Rfam family: tRNA
About the family: Transfer RNA (tRNA) molecules are approximately 80 nucleotides in length. Their secondary structure includes four short double-helical elements and three loops (D, anti-codon, and T loops).
Source: RNAcentral
GUGCCCAUGGUGUAGCGGUUAACACAGCAGGUUGUGGUCCUGCCGACACGGGUUCGAUUCCCGUUGGGCACCCA